Molecule: ribosomal RNA, 253 nt
Filed under: uncultured bacterium
Lineage: Bacteria
Description: partial 16S ribosomal RNA
Rfam family: Bacterial small subunit ribosomal RNA
Source: RNAcentral
UACGAGGGGGGCGAGCGUUAAUCGGAAUUACUGGGCGUAAAGCGUGCGCAGGCGGUUUUGUAAGUCUGUCGUGAAAUCCCCGGGCUUAACCUGGGAAUUGCGAUGGAGACUGCAUAGCUAGAGUACGGUAGAGGGGGAUGGAAUUCCGCGUGUAGCAGUGAAAUGCGUAGAUAUGCGGAGGAACACCGAUGGCGAAGGCAAUCCCCUGGACCUGUACUGACGCUCAUGCACGAAAGCGUGGGGAGCAAACAGG